This 1185-nucleotide ribosomal RNA is filed under the name uncultured archaeon. RNAcentral's name for it is "bacterial SSU rRNA". It matches the Rfam family "Archaeal small subunit ribosomal RNA", at positions 230 to 1411 of the family's 1478-position model. The record is from RNAcentral.
CCGACGGUGGCUAACGGACCACCAAACGUACGACGGGUAUGGGCCAUGGGAGUUGGAGCCCAGAGAUGGGGACUGAGACAAGGCCCCAGGCCCUACGGGGCGCAGCAGGCGCGAAACUCCGCAAUGCGCGAAAGCGUGACGGGGGAACCCCAAGUGCCGUUGGUCUUUUGAUCGACGGCUUUUUGGAAGUCUAGGAAGCUUCCAGAAUAAGGGCUGGGCAAGUCUGGUGCCAGCCGCCGCGGUAAUACCAGCAGCCCAAAAAAGAAUGGUCGCGUUUAUUGGGCCUAAAGCGCUCGUAGCCGGGCCUGUAAGUCCCUUGUGAAAUCGGACGGCUCAACCGUUCGGCUUGCAAGGGAGACUGCUAGCCUUGGAAUCGGGAGAGGUCGGGGGUACUUCGGGGGUAGCGGUGAAAUGCUGUAAUCCCUGGGGGACCACCAGUGGCGAAGGCGCCCGACCAGAACGGAUUCGACGGUGAGGGGCGAAGGCUGGGGGAGCGAACGGGAUUAGAUACCCCGGUAGUCCCAGCUGUAAAGGAUGCGGGCUGGGUGUCAGGUGCCCUUUCGAGAGCACCUGGUGCCGUCAGGGUAACCGCUCUCCAGCCCGCUGUCCUGGGAAGUACGGUCGCAAGGCUGAAACUUAAAGAAAUUGGCGGGGGAGCACCACAAGGGGUGGGACAUGCGGUUUAAUUGGAUUCUACGCCGGACAACUCACCAGGGGCGACAGUUGGUUGAAGGCCAGGUUGACGACCUUGCCCGACUAGCUGAGAGGUGGUGCAUGGCCGUCGUCAGCUCGUACCGUGAGGCGUCCUGUCAAGUCAGGUAACGAGCGAGACCCUUGCCCUUAGUUGCCAUCGAUGGGAAGUCGGGCACUCUAAGGGGACCGCUGGUGCUAAACCAGAGGAAGGAGAGGGCGACGAUAGGUCCGUAUGCCCCGAAUCUCCUGGGCUACACGCGGGUCACAAUGCGCAGGACAAUGGGAUGCAAUGCCGUAAGGCAAAGCCAAGCCCCUAAACCUGCGCUCAGUUCGAAUCGAGGGCUGAAACUCGCCCUCGUGAAGCUAGAAUCCCUAGUAAUCGCGAGCCACUACCUCGCGGUGAAUACGUCCCUGCUCCUUGCACACACCGCCCGUCAAGCCACUCGAGUGGGGUCUGGAUGAGGCUUACUCAAAUUGGGUGGAUCGAAUCCA